RNAcentral lists this long non-coding RNA (5827 nucleotides) under Sus scrofa (pig). RNAcentral's name for it is "lncRNA (ENSSSCG00035042672.1)". The record is from RNAcentral. Lineage: Eukaryota; Metazoa; Chordata; Mammalia; Artiodactyla; Suidae.
AGACACGAUGGUGGAGCUUUGGAUUUGAAUGCGUAAUCUUAAUAGGAAAUGGAGAACUUUAACAUGGGAAACUUGCAGCAGAGAGGGCCUCCUCCCAUCCAACUGGCCUGGUCAAGCUACUGGUGAUGGAAUCCAGGCUUCAAAAGAAGAACCAGAUGUCAGAUGGAAAUGAUCAAGAAGACAGAUCAGUAGUUCCUGUCGUGGCUCAAUGUUUCCAAGGAGGAUUUCACUCGGAGCAAUCUGUUUCCUGAGAGAGAGUCGAGGAAUUCUCUUGGAGUCUCUUGAGGAUCUGGUGAAGAGACCUUACCUGAAACUUGAGCCCUGGGGAGAGGCUAUUCCCAACAAAAACCACCAAAGCGCAGAGCUAGAGAUUCCCUGGUGACAACGGCUUUUAAAUCCAGUGGAAACAGAGAACUGCAUGAAGCAGCAGAGGGGUCAGCUGCAAGCCAGGGCCCUGCCCCCAGCCCCCGGUAACCAGAAUCCCCCAGUCUUUGGAAAGGUAGAUACCAAUGGCACUACCUUCAGCCAGGUAAACAAUGCAAUUCUAAACCCAACAAUCUGGGGGAGGUUGGACAUUUACGUCUGCAGAGAACAAUACCAGGCACUGGCCUCACUCCAGACCUGCAUGCCAGGCACCCUGUUGGCCAGCUCUGUGGCGCCUGUGUCUCAGCUCCAGAUUCCCUGCCUUUUGGUCCAUGCUCUUGGCACCUUCAUGCCAAGAAAACAAAUGGGGAUAGAAAAUAUAGCUUGGUGGCUACCGCAGUGACUGCUGCUGUGGGAAUUGUUUGAAAUAUCAAAGAACCAUUGCAGAUCCAGAGUGACAGCGGCCGUGGUGAACAUACACUCGCACUAUCAUAAUGGACUAGAAAUCAGAGGGUGUGUAUUCAGUUAUCAGCUCCACUACUUCCCAUCUUGUAACAUUAGUCUAGUUGUCAACUAGUAAAGGUCUGCUACAAAGCACAAGCUCCCAAAGCUGGUCAUUUGUUAAUAAAUGCCAAAGUCACUUAAGUGUUUGGGGCCUCUGUGGCUCCCUAUUAAAAAUAAGGGGGUUGAUAUCUUGGCAAUAAUGACAGCGACUGUUAUUUAUUGGGUGAUUACUAUGUGCUGGGCACUGCUGUGAAUUAAUUAAAUCUUUUAGUUGUCACAGAAACCCACUUCUUUUAACAUGCAAGGAAAUCAAAGCACAGAGAGGCUAAGUAACCGGCCCAAAGUUGGUAAGAGACAUAACACGAGAUUCAAAACUUCAAAGCCCAUGUGUUUAUCCAUUUUGUCAAUAUCUACCUUAUGUUAUUCUCAUUUUGUCAAUUAUCAUCAUCAGUGGGAAGAUGUUUAAUCUCUUCUUCCAAUUCUAUGUGUACUGCCUGUAUUACUUCUCAUAGAUUGAUCCUUUAAGUAUCCAUCUAUACUUGAGCCUCCAAACGUCACUGUAAAGCCUCCAAAAAUUUAUUUAUUUACACUCCAAAAAUGAGAAAUCAGGAAUUUUGUACCUACCUGCGGACGCAGUAUAAAGUGGACAGGGCUAGCAAGUAGGUUGAAUGCCAACGGGCAACACAAAGGAGCCGAUCUAACAGGGUACAAGCACUGGGACCAUAUGUAGCCGUGUACUGUUUAUACUAUGCAUAGCUAUGUACUGCUGACCAGCUCUCUAACAUGGAAAGACUUGACAUGUCAUUUCCCUAAGCAGCGUCACAGGCCAAGAGCUGAGGUAGACAGAGGAGCCCCAGUCAUGUGGAAGAAAAGCACUGGACUUAGAUUUCGAUAAUUGAAUGAAGGUCUUACUGGUUGCACAACCCUGGGCAAGACUGUUUCCCUCACUGAACCUGCCUCUACUUCUGUAAAAUGGGGAUGUGUGAUGUUUGAUGUACCUCACAGGCUUGUCAUGAGGAUUGAAUGGGAUGACAAGGAAACUACUUGGCAAACUCUAAAGACUUGCUACUCAAAGGGGCUCCUCAGACCUGCAGCACCAGCAUCAUUCAGAAGUUUGUGAAAAAGGCAAAUCUCCCCACCCCAGACCUCCUGAGACAGAAUCUGCAUUUCAGCAGCAUCCCCAGGUUAGUCAUAUGCACGUUAAAGUUGAGAAGCCCUGCUCUAAGGCACUAAAUCAGUGCAGCCUGUUGUAAUUUGGGGCUCUGUUUUCCUUGCAUAUACUUCAUAUAUAAUGAAAUGUAACACAGCCACAUUUAAAGGACUGUGCCAGGGAGUUCACGUCGUGGCACAGCAGAAACGAAUCCGACUAGGAACCAUGAGGUUGCGGGUUCAAUCCCUGGCCUCGCUCAGUGGGUUAAGGAUCUGGCAUUGCCGUGAGCUGUGGUGUAGGUCACAGACACGGCUUGGAUCUGGCAUUGCUGUGGCUGUGGUGUAGGCUUGGCAGCUAUAGCUUCGAUUAGACCCCUAGCCUGGGAAUCUCCAUAUGCCACGAGUGUGGUCCUAAAAAGGACAAAAAGGCAAAAUAAAAUAAACUAAAAAUAAAAAUAAAGGACUGGACCGGCUCAAAGUUUUCCACCUCCUCCUUCCCUGGAACCCGAUGACUGUGCCAGGUGUGGGCCCCAGUCGCCACCCAUGUGACAAGCAGACUAUUCCUAGAGAGCAGUUCCCUUUGCUGAGUUAGGAACCACCUGAGCGAGGCACUGCCUUGUAAAAUGCCUGGCCAUUUUUGAGUUGGGAGAACCAAUAAAGUGCAAACCCACAUAUCAAGAACUGUCUCAGCCCUGGGAAAUGUUGUUAAAUAUGAGACUGAAGGGGAGUAGCAGCCAAAGUGGAGUUGCAGUGGAUUUUAAUCUCUUCUGCCCAGUCCCUAAAAGCAGCAGCUAGAGGAAUCACCUCAGAGUGGGAGGGCUCCUUGUCAUAAAUUUGUCUUUUAUUAGAUCCCUGUUAUGGAUGGGAGGCAUGUAACAGGUGCCUCACGAAUGCCGGUGAAACUGGGUUGAAUACUCUGUCUGCUUCCUAACUGUUAAAAGAGCUUCCCAUUGUGGCUCAGUGGUUUUAGAACCUGACUAGUAUCCAUGAGGAUGCGGGUUCUAUCCCUGGCCUCCCUCCGUGGGUUAAGGAUCCAGCGUUGCCAUGAGCUGUGGUGUGUGUAGGUCACAGACAAAGCUCAGAUCCCGUGUUGCUGUGGCCGUGACAUAGGCCAGCAGCUGUGACUCUGAUUCGCCCCCUAGCCUGGGAACUUUUGUAUGCUAUGGGUGUGGCUCUAAAAAGAAAAAAAGAAAUUUUUUUAAGAAAAAAAAAAUUUAGAAAGAGCUUUAAAACUGCAGUUUAGAGGAAGACAGUGUGGGGUAGCCGGAGGGGUCCUGCUUGGGCUGUUUGCUCGAACUCCUUCCGCUUAAAGUAUUCAGUCUCCCAAGGUGCUGUGUUUUAGGGUAGCAUGUCCUAAAACCCCUAACUAGCCAAACCGAGGAGUCCUUACAUUCUAUCUAGCCAGCUCCUGGUGUCCUGACAGGUUCACAAUUGUUUUAAAGCUCAUCUCAGAAAACAAAGGGACAGAAGACUCUGAACAAACACUUCUCACUAAGUUCUCCCAGUUUAUGACACUCACCUCGUAUUCUAUGGCCUGAAAUAUUUCUACAUGACUGUGUGUUCUUCAUCAAGCCCAGCAGAAAAAUACUCAGGUUUAACUUUUCCUCCAGGUCUUCGUUUCCUUAUGCAGGCUUCCGUAUCACGUAAAAUUUAUAUUCAGUACUUUUGGACAAUUUUCUCCUGUUUAUCUGUCUUUGUAGGUUUCAUUUUCAGACCCAGCCGGGUACCCUAAAAGGGUCAGGGAAAACUUUUUUUCCUCCCUUACACUAGCUUACCUCCUUUUCACGUGCGUGGAAGCACACACAUGUCACUGUUCCUUCUUUUCACCCCUGUUAUCGUUUUCUCCAUCUUCCAUUCCCUUGGUCAAAGCUUAACCAAGUGAACACAUAAAUUUUAAUAACCUGUCAAAAUGUCAUAAUGGAAAUGGAACAAUUCCAUUUGUAAAUCACUAUUGACCAAAAAAAAUUCUUUGCCUUUCAAACAUGUUUUAAAUAGAUGUCCUAAAUUUGGUUUGUUUAAGAAACAGUCUGUUCCAGAAAGUCUAUGACUAAGACAUGAAUGACAAAAACACAUUAAUGAAGUAUUAGUGCAUAGACUUAAGUAAUUGUACACUGUUCUACAACUUCAGAGGUCAGAGAUCUGUGCUGUGUAGAGGUGGGUCAAGGAAGGGAAAACCCUCCCAUUUGGAGAAAGUCUCCACUGGAGAAUAUCCCGGUUGGGAUUGUGUAGUUCUCAGGAGCAAUGCUAUUCUAAAUUUUGGGGGUUUGCUCUUACCAGAAAAGAAAAAGGAAGCAAGCACAUGGAAGGGCCAUAGCACCCUUUCCUUGAGCACCGAUUAUCCGUGGUGAGGCAGAGAGAGUUGCCUGGGAAAACUUGGUCAUCAAGAUCACCCCAGGCCCAGAAUGUGAGAGCUUGGGUAGAGUUGUGUGUGUCCAGCGACACAUUUGCACUUCCAAGAAGGUACCAAAGUUGCUUUUACUCUACCUCAGAGGUAGGAGUGUGUAAAGCCCCAUUCAGUAACAGUGCAAAGUCUGGCAGAAGGUCCCCAUACAUUCACAUGUGUUUAUUUACAUUUUGUUCUAAAAUCUACAUUCAGGAGUUCCCGUCGUGGUGCAGUGGUUAACGAAUCUGACUAGGAACCAUGAGGUUUCAGGUUCGAUCCCUGGCCUUGCUCAGUGGGUUAGGGAUGCGGCAUUGCUGUGGCUCUGGUGUAGGCUGGCAGCUUAGCUCCGAUUAGACCCCUAAGCUGGGAACCUCCAUGUGCUGCAGGAGCAGCCCUAGAAAAGGCAAAAAGACCAAAAAAUAAAAUCUAUGUCACCUACACUGCAGGCUUCUCUGGCCAUAGGGUGAGUCUCCAGGAUCUUUUAUUAUUAUAUAUUUAUUGGAGUAUAUUUGCUGUCCAGUGUUGUGUUAGUUUCUGGUGAUUCAGUUAUAUGUGUGUAUAGAAGAAUCUGUUCUUUCUCAGAUUCUUUUUCAUAAUGAUUUAAUACAAGAUAUUGAGUAUAGUUCCUAGGCUCUACAAUAGGACCUUGUUUAUCUACUCAGGGUCUUUUAAAAGAGAGACAAAGGGGCUUAUCCUAAAGGAAGCCAGUAGAGACCCACAGUUUAGUUUUGGGACAAAAAGCAGCCUCCUAGGAAGUGUUUUUAAUAAAGUCCAACUUUCAGAUCAUACCCUGAUCCAAGUGAUUCAACCCAACCUGACUCCUCAGAAGAGGAGGCUGCCAAAAAAACACUGCCUCAGCACAGGUUCCGUGGCAGACAAGCACGCUGGUGGCAGUGGUGGCAGACAGAGCUCUCUGGCAUGGCAGACGCUGUCAAGGUGCAGACACUGGUGGCCAGUAGCAGCAGAACCCUCAGCAGCUAUCUGAGGCAUCGGGAGUUGAACCACUAAAUUUGGCAGUGGUGGUGACCAGGAUAACUCACCAAGAAGCCAUCAAUGAGGAGAGGAGAGAAGAAUGGCAACUGCCACAUCACAACUAAGGACAGCCACUGUGCACAAACGGCCUACUCUCAGAGACUCUGAGAGCUAUCAAGGUAGAAUUUAAGAGGAGUUCCCGUCGUGCCUCAGAGUUAAAGAAUCUGACUGGCAUCCAUGAGGACCACAAGUUCAAUCCCUGGCCUUGCUCAGUGGGUUAAGGAUCUGGCAUUACCAUGGGCUGUGGUGUAGGUCCCAGAUCCGGGUGCGGCUUGGAUCUGGCGUUGCUGUGGCUGUGGUGUAGGCCGGUACCUACAGCUCUCUUUCGACCCCUAGCCUGGGAACCUCCAUAUACUUCGAGUGUGGCCCUAAAACGCAAAAAAAACAAAAAAAAAA